CCUGGGAGGUCAAGUCUUGGGAAAAAAAAAUACAGGAUGUGGUAAGCAUAUCUAUCCCCCAGGUUAAAGGAAGCAUGAAGGUGAGCUAGACCACUGUGAUUAGAUAAAGAAAGCAGACUCAGUGGCCUCUACACCUGCUUUUGCAUAACGUGAGACAGACCCAGAUGCACAGAGAGCUCUGAAAUGUCAUGAAGGAAGCAGAUGAAGAAGACAGUACAGGACAGAGCCCUUUUCAGAGCAACGUGAUUAAUAGCUCACUUUCAAGAACAGCAUGCAGGGUGCAUGCUUGCCCACAUGACAAAAGAUACUCAGAUACAAGCCCACAUGACAAAAGAUACUCAGAUCCAAGCACUCGCGAACUUCCAGUGUCGGGUGGUAGGAGACUACUCAUCAUUCCUCCCUCUGCUGGCGAUUUCAUGAAUAA
RNAcentral lists this long non-coding RNA (424 nucleotides) under Homo sapiens (human). RNAcentral's name for it is "HSALNT0190113". Lineage: Eukaryota; Metazoa; Chordata; Mammalia; Primates; Hominidae. The record is from RNAcentral.